AUUGAACGCUAGCGGGAUGCUUUACACAUGCAAGUCGAACGGCAGCGCGGACUUCGGUCUGGCGGCGAGUGGCGAACGGGUGAGUAAUGUAUCGGAACGUGCCCAGUAGCGGGGGAUAACUACGCGAAAGCGUAGCUAAUACCGCAUACGCCCUACGGGGGAAAGCAGGGGAUCGUAAGACCUUGCACUAUUGGAGCGGCCGAUAUCGGAUUAGCUAGUUGGUGAGGUAACGGCUCACCAAGGCGACGAUCCGUAGCUGGUUUGAGAGGACGACCAGCCACAGGGGGACGGAGACCCGGCCCAGACUCCUGCGGGAGGCAGAAGGGGGGAUUUUUGGACAAGGGGGGCACCCUUGAUCCACCCACCCCGCGUGUGGGAGGAAGGCUUUGGGGUUGUAAAGCACUUUGGGCAGGAAAGAAACGUCGCGGGCUAAUCCCCCGGGGACCGGAGGUUACCUGAAAAAAAAGCCCCGGCAAACUCCGGC
This 484-nucleotide ribosomal RNA is filed under the name uncultured bacterium. RNAcentral's name for it is "partial 16S ribosomal RNA". It matches the Rfam family "Bacterial small subunit ribosomal RNA", at positions 29 to 508 of the family's 1533-position model. The record is from RNAcentral.